CAGGUGAAAAGAGGAACAUCCUCCAGUCAUGAAUAGUAAAUUAAAUGGCAGUGUGUGAAACAGUGGCACAGUUCUGUCUUCAUUGAAAACUUACACAAGUGUUGUAACAAAUGUACCACAAUUUUGUUGUUCCAUGUUUCAAGUACUAGCGACAACUACUAUGCAGACGUAAAACAGCAAUGACUAGCAUCAGCUAUUUUAGAAUUUAUUUAAAAUAAAAUGUUUGACAAAUUA
Physella acuta is the source of this 234-nucleotide long non-coding RNA. RefSeq lists it as uncharacterized. NCBI's taxonomy places the organism in Eukaryota, Metazoa, Mollusca, Gastropoda, Physidae. The record is from RefSeq and is a predicted model, not a curated record.